RNAcentral lists this ribosomal RNA (717 nucleotides) under uncultured bacterium. RNAcentral describes it as "bacterial SSU rRNA". It matches the Rfam family "Bacterial small subunit ribosomal RNA", at positions 781 to 1500 of the family's 1533-position model. The record is from RNAcentral.
GAUACCCUGGUAGUCCACGCCGUAAACGAUGGAUACUAGGUGUGGGAGGUAUUGACCCCUUCCGUGCCGGAGUUAACACAAUAAGUAUCCCACCUGGGGAGUACGGUCGCAAGACUGAAACUCAAAGGAAUUGACGGGGGCCCGCACAAGCAGUGGAUUAUGUGGUUUAAUUCGACGCAACGCGAAGAACCUUACCAGGACUUGACAUCCUACUAACGAAGUAGAGAUACAUCAGGUGCCCUUCGGGGAAAGUAGAGACAGGUGGUGCAUGGUUGUCGUCAGCUCGUGUCGUGAGAUGUUGGGUUAAGUCCCGCAACGAGCGCAACCCCUAUUGUUAGUUGCUACGCAAGAGCACUCUAGCGAGACUGCCGUUGACAAAACGGAGGAAGGCGGGGACGACGUCAAAUCAUCAUGCCCCUUAUGUCCUGGGCUACACACGUAAUACAAUGGUGGUCAACAGAGGGAGGCAAGACUGCGAAGUGGAGCAAAUCCCUAAAAGCCAUCUCAGUUCGGAUUGCAGGCUGCAACUCGCCUGCAUGAAGCUGGAAUUGCUAGUAAUCGCGGAUCAGCAAGCCGCGGUGAAUACGCUCCCGGGCCUUGUACACACCGCCCGUCACACCAUGAGAGUCGGGAACACCCGAAGUCCGUAGUCUAACCGCAAGGGGGGCGCGGCCGAAGGUGGGUCCGGUAAUUGGGGUGAAGUCGUAACAAGGUAAC